This 253-nucleotide ribosomal RNA is filed under the name uncultured bacterium. RNAcentral describes it as "partial 16S ribosomal RNA". It matches the Rfam family "Bacterial small subunit ribosomal RNA", at positions 524 to 776 of the family's 1533-position model. The record is from RNAcentral.
UACAGAGGUCCCAAGCGUUGUUCGGAUUUACUGGGCGUAAAGGGUGCGUAGGCGGUCGGGUAAGUCUGGUGUGAAAUUUCGGAGCUCAACUCCGAAACGGCAUUGGAUACUAUUCGGCUAGAGGUUGGGAAGGGAGACUGGAAUUCUCGGUGUAGCAGUGAAAUGCGUAGAUAUCGAGAGGAACACCAGUGGCGAAGGCGAGUCUCUGGACCAAUCCUGACGCUGAGGCACGAAAGCCAGGGGAGCAAACGGG